GACGAACGCUGGCGGCGUGCUUAACACAUGCAAGUCGAACGGAAAGGCCCUGCUUUUGUGGGGUGCUCGAGUGGCGAACGGGUGAGUAACACGUGAGUAACCUGCCCUUGACUUUGGGAUAACUUCAGGAAACUGGGGCUAAUACCGGAUAGGAGCUCCUGCUGCAUGGUGGGGGUUGGAAAGUUUCGGCGGUUGGGGAUGGACUCGGGGCUUAUCAGCUUGUUGGUGGGGUAGUGGCUUACCAAGGCUUUGACGGGUAGCCGGCCUGAGAGGGUGACCGGCGACAUUGGGACUGAGAUACGGCCCAGACUCCUACGGGAGGCAGCAGUGGGGAAUAUUGCACAAUGGGCGGAAGCCUGAUGCAGCAACGCCGCGUGCGGGAUGACGGCCUUCGGGUUGUAAACCGCUUUCGCCUGUGACGAAGCGUGAGUGACGGUAAUGGGUAAAGAAGCACCGGCUAACUACGUG
Molecule: ribosomal RNA, 468 nt
Filed under: uncultured bacterium
Lineage: Bacteria
Description: partial 16S ribosomal RNA
Rfam family: Bacterial small subunit ribosomal RNA
Source: RNAcentral